Molecule: ribosomal RNA, 494 nt
Filed under: uncultured fungus
Lineage: Eukaryota; Fungi
Description: SSU rRNA
Rfam family: Eukaryotic small subunit ribosomal RNA
Source: RNAcentral
AUAAAAAUCAACUUUGUUGGUGAAUCAUAAUAACUUCUCGGACCGCAUGGCCUCGUGCUGGCGGUGCUUCAUUCAAAUAUCUGCCCUAUCAACUGUCGAUGGUAGGAUAGAGGCCUACCAUGGUUGCAACGGGUAACGGGGAAUAAGGGUUCGAUUCCGGAGAGGGAGCCUGAGAAGCGGCUACCACAUCCAAGGAAGGCAGCAGGCGCGCAAAUUACCCAAUCCCAACACGGGGAGGUAGUGACAAUAUGUAACAAUAUACGGCCUUAUACGUCGUAUAAUUGGAAUGAGUACAAUUUAAAUCCCUUAACGAGGAACAAUUGGAGGGCAAGUCUGGUGCCAGCAGCCGCGGUAAUUCCAGCUCCAAUAGCGUAUAUUAAAGUUGUUGCAGUUAAAAAGCUCGUAGUUGGACCUUGGACCUGGACAGGCGGUCCGCCUCACGGCGAGUACUGUCUUGCUGGGUCUUUCCUCUUGGUGAUCUGUUGUUUCGGCAG